CGGCGCCACAAGUGGCGAUCAUGAUUAUUGGGCCUAAAGCGUCCGUAGCCGGUUUAGUAAGUCUUUUGUGAAAUCGUUGCGCUUAACGUAACGGCGUGCAGAAGAUACUGUUAAACUUGAGACCGGGAAGAGUUAGAGGUAUGCUUGGGGGAGCGGUAAAAUGCUAUAAUCCUUUGCAGACCACCAGUGGCGAAGGCGUCUAACUUGAACGGAUCUGACGGUGAGGGACGAAAGCCAGGGGAGCAAUCCGGAUUAGAUACCCGAGUAGUCC
RNAcentral lists this ribosomal RNA (271 nucleotides) under uncultured archaeon. RNAcentral's name for it is "partial 16S ribosomal RNA". It matches the Rfam family "Archaeal small subunit ribosomal RNA", at positions 477 to 747 of the family's 1478-position model. The record is from RNAcentral.